CGCAGUCCAUACCAAUACCUCAAAUGCGAGAUAGAGAUGUUGUUUCCAAUAGAACCCCGACUCAAAAUAAAGCAAUCUAAGAUAAGGAAUAGUAAUAGAACAAGAUACAAUGGAAAUUAACAUAUUCAAUAAUACCAAAUGCAAGAUACUCCAAGGACACAUCAACAUACAACAUCCUAACUCAGACUAACCUUCUACCCUAAUUCACCUCCUCCACCAACUUCCAAUCCAAGGUCAUGUCCUCGGUAAGCUGAAAAUGCUCCACGUCAUGUCUAAUCACGUCCCUCCAAUAUUUCUUUGGUUUACCUCUACCUUGCUUGAAACCAUCCCUAGCCAACCUCUCACACCUCCGCACUGGGGCAUCCGUACUCCUCCUCAUCACAUGACCGAACCAUCUCAACCUUGCUUCCCUCAUCUUGGCUUCUGAUACGGAACAAACAAAGGAACACAAAAUCACACCCCAAAACAGUCCACAAAUCACAACAAAUCGUGGACCAAAUGGGGACCUCUCUCGGAUUCACUAUCUAAAACAAGAAAGAAGAGGAUACAAGGUGUUAAUACACCAAAACAGCCAGCCAACAACAAGUUUAGCAACACAAGAUGAAGCUCCACAAUAUUACAAUAGCAACAAGAACAAACGGGUUACAUUAACAACACAAGAAGCCGAAACUAAAACAAGAUACAAGAUAGGUAGUUAGACAAGUGUUGAUGUAGUCUUAACACCCCAAUAGCAUAUUCCACUCUUGUACCUUUAAAAAUUCCCACAACAAACACNNNNNNNNNNNNNNNNNNNNNNNNNNNNNNNNNNNNNNNNNNNNNNNNNNNNNNNNNNNNNNNNNNNNNNNNNNNNNNNNNNNNNNNNNNNNNNNNNNNNNNNNNNNNNNNNNNNNNNNNNNNNNNNNNNNNNNNNNNNNNNNNNNNNNNNNNNNNNNNNNAAAAAUACUCAAAAGUGUCAUGAUCAUGAUCAUACUUGUAUCAUCCUCUCCAUCUUGAGAGGAAUUUGCCCACAAAUUCAUAACCUCACCUCUUUUACAAAGGCACUUCACAAUCUCCUUCACACGGCCACACAUCUUCUACAUCUUCUUCGUCUUGCAUUUUAACCUCUUUUGGCUCUCCAUCUUGAGGCUUGCCAUCAACCUUAGCCGAUUCACUACUUCUUCCCCAAGAUAUUACAAUUUUUCCUCCCUUAGGAUCACGUUCCUCCGGUUUGGGCACUCACUAGCCUUGUGCCCCCAUCCUUGGCAUUUGAAGCAUUGAAAUCCCUUGGGAUUAGAAGUAGAAUUCAAUUUACCUUCAUACCUUGGAGGGUGUUUUUGGACAACCUUGGUGGCCUCGGGUUGGGUAGCCAUGAAUGAGUUAUCUUUGAGCUCCCUCUCAACCUGUAAAACCGCAUGGAAGAUGCCAUCUAUGGUGUCGAAUUUGUGAAGCGUCAUGCGAGUGGAGAUGUCCUUGUUUAACCCAACCUUGAAGCGCACAAUGUCAUGACUUACUUGCUCGCCUCGGUGGUCAAGUUUCAACAUCAAUUGUUGAAAUUCAUCGUAGUAAGCCAUGACACUCUUGUUCCCUUGCCUCAGAUUGUACAAUUUAGCAAGGAGCUCAUGCCUAUAAGCCUCGAGCAAGUACCUUUGUCGCAUAAGGUUCUUCAAUCGAAACCAAGGAGAAGGUUGUCCCCCAAUCAUCUCAUUCCCAAACCGUUUAACAUACUCCCACCAUGUAUUAGCAUACCCUUCGAAGUGAGCUAUAGCAUAACAACUUUUUUUUUCUUCGGUGUGAGAUCAUUAAGUUGGAAGAUCUUGUCACAAGAUGACUCCCAUGCAAGGUAGGCCCCUACAUUAUGGUUUUGGUUCCCUUGUUGGUUCCAAUAACCAACUCUUUCUUCUCGACCGUGAACUUCUCUCAGAUCACCUUGCUUAUCCCUCAUCUCCUUCCUUAUUAUGUAAACAUCAUAAUAUGGUCCAUAACCAACAUAUUGUUCUCCUCUACCAUACCCCUCAACAUGGAUGGGUCUAUUUGGGUUAAGUGGAGGUUGUAGUGGUGGGAUUGGAUUUAGAUAGUGAGGUCUUUGGUCAAGUGGAGUUUGGAUGGGAGGGUUCAGGUUUGGUGAUGGUAUUUGGGUUCCAAGCCCUUCUUGUUAGACUUGGUGGAGUGGAGGAUGGCUUGGUCUAUCUUGUUCUCGGCUUUGGGAGUAAAGAUUGGUUUGAUUUAUGGCAAUUGGUGUAUAUUGCAUUUGGUGCAAGGUCUCGAGAGUAUAAGUUGGGGAAAUGUUUUAAGGGGUAGAAGGUCGACUCCUUUGACUUUCCACACGUUCUAAUCUCCCACUCAUUGAUGCCACAUCCAUAUCUAAUUUCUCAAGACCCACAUUCAACCUAGCCACAUCUCGGGACGUAGUUUCAAGGCGAGCCAAAAUGAGAUUGAUGGCAUUACUAUCCAUUGUAUGAGCAUUUGAAGCCUCGGGUUCCAUUGUGGUGGUAUCAAAAAUAACCCUUCAAGUUACGGUCCAAUCAAGAUACCAAAUCAGUCCGCAACGUCACACAACAAUACAAUGCAAAACCUACAACACAAAACACAUGUUAUUGCAAUACAACCUCCCACAAUGAGAUCCCACCUUCAAGUUUCUUCAAACUCAAGCUCAACAUUGGUGGAUGGCUCAAAUAACCUCCAAUUUAGCUCAAAUUCGAAUCUUAUACUCCUAUAGUGUUAGAGAACACAAAUCUAACACUAAAAACACAAGAAAAACGCAAAAUCAAAAACUCAAAAUUUGACCAUGGAUCAAAAACGGGUUUAGUAUUUUUUGGAGGACUUUCGAUUUUGACACUUCUUUUUUGUUGGAAUUUUCAAUUUCUCUACUCUAAUAGUAUUAGGGAACAAGAUCUAACACUAGAAACACACAAAAAUCAAGUUUUUUGAAAGACCCUAAAAACGUGAACAGUAACUUUUUUUUUUCAAGAUAACAAUCCCAAGAUUGAUUUUGUUGGAACAAAAUCAAACCGUGCUUUGAUACCAAAUGAUACGGAACAAACAAGAGAACACGAAAUCACACCCCAAAAUAGUCCACAAAUCACAACAAAUUGUGGACCAAAUGGGGACCUCUCUCGGAUUCACUAUCUAGAACAAGAAAGAAGAGGAUACAAGGUGUUAAUACACCAAAACAGCCAGCCAACAACAAGUUUAGCAACACAAGAUGAAGCUCCACAAUAUUACAAUAGCAACAAGAAUAAACGGGUUACAUUAAUAACACAAGAAGCCGAAACUAAAACAAUAUACAAGAUAGGUAGUUAGACAAGUGUUGAUAUAGUCUUAACAACCCAAGAGCAUAUUCCACUCUUGGAUCUUUAAAACUUCACACAACAAACACGUAACUCUUACAAUUGACACAAGAGAGGCGUCCACCACCCAAGCACCAAUGUAUCAAGCAAAAUGCAACACACAAAAGAAUCCACCCUUAUGUUAUGCCCUAGUUUCAAUUGGACUCUCUCUCACUCUAAGAGAAGUAUUCUUCAAUAAUAAUGAUCAACUAAAGAAAUAAACCCUACAAUGUUCUAUUUAUACUACAUUACAAUAAUAGACAAACUGACAAAAGGACCCUUUAGUGACUAGUCUUAAAAAAUACUCAAAAGUGUCAUGAUCAUGAUCAUACUUGUAUCAGCUUCCACCGAAGCCACUCCCAUCUUAUCUCCAAUAACCUCAUUGCAUACAUUUCAAUAAUCAACACCUAUCAAAAACAACAUAUUCAGUGUAGUGUAACCCCAUAAAGUGGGGCCGGGGUCUGGGAUAAAGUGUACGUAGACCUUACCCUACCUUAGAGGUUGUUUCCGAUAGACCCUCGGCUUAAGGAAAAAUAGUCCAAAGCAAUCCCAAAAAAGAGUAACGAAAGUACAAGAAACAACAUAUAAUAACAAAAACAAUUGACAGUAACAAAACUAUAC
RNAcentral lists this long non-coding RNA (3926 nucleotides) under Capsicum annuum. Its description in RNAcentral is "long non-coding RNA (CANN_LNC017703)". Lineage: Eukaryota; Viridiplantae; Streptophyta; Magnoliopsida; Solanales; Solanaceae. The record is from RNAcentral.